AGUAGUUGACUCCGUCGCUACGAGGACGACGCUGGCGGCGUGCUUAACACAUGCAAGUCGAACGGAAAGGCCCCUUCGGGGGUGCUCGAGUGGCGAACGGGCGAGUAACACGUGAGUAACCUGACCCUUGACUUCGGGAUAACUCCAGGAAACUGGGGCUAAUACCGGAUACGGAGCUCCUGCUGCAUGGUCGGGGGUUGGAAAGCGUUCGGCGGUUUUGGAUGGACUCGCGGCUUAUCAGCUUGUUGGUGGGGUAGUGGCUCACCAAGGCUUCGACGGGUAGCCGGCCUGAGAGGACGACCGGCCACAUUGGGACUGAGAUACGGCCCAGACUCCUACGGGAGGCAGCAGUGGGGAAUAGUUGCACAAUGGGGGGAACCCUGAUGCAGCAACGCCGCGUGCGGGAUGACGGCCUUCGGGUUGUAAACCGCUUUCAUCCAUGACGAAGCGUAAGUGACGGUAGUGGGAGAAGAAGCACCGGCUAACUACGUG
RNAcentral lists this ribosomal RNA (492 nucleotides) under uncultured Propionibacterium sp. Its description in RNAcentral is "bacterial SSU rRNA". It matches the Rfam family "Bacterial small subunit ribosomal RNA", at positions 33 to 507 of the family's 1533-position model. Lineage: Bacteria; Bacillati; Actinomycetota; Actinomycetes; Propionibacteriales; Propionibacteriaceae. The record is from RNAcentral.